GACGAACGCUGGCGGCGUGCUCAACACAUGCAAGUCGAACGGUAAGGCCCUUCGGGGUACACGAGUGGCGAACGGGUGAGUAACACGUGGGUGAUCUGCCCUGCACUUCGGGAUAAGCCUGGGAAACUGGGUCUAAUACCGGAUAGGACUCCGGACUGCAUGGUCUGGGGUGGAAAGCUUUUGCGGUGUGGGAUGGGCCCGCGGCCUAUCAGCUUGUUGGUGGGGUGAUGGCCUACCAAGGCGACGACGGGUAGCCGGCCUGAGAGGGUGACCGGCCACACUGGGACUGAGAUACGGCCCAGACUCCUACGGGAGGCAGCAGUGGGGAAUAUUGCACAAUGGGCGCAAGCCUGAUGCAGCGACGCCGCGUGAGGGAUGACGGCCUUCGGGUUGUAAACCUCUUUCAGCACCGACGAAGCGCAAGUGACGGUAGGUGCAGAAGAAGGACCGGCCAACUACGCGCCAGCCGCCGCCGUAA
RNAcentral lists this ribosomal RNA (478 nucleotides) under uncultured bacterium. RNAcentral describes it as "partial 16S ribosomal RNA". It matches the Rfam family "Bacterial small subunit ribosomal RNA", at positions 28 to 523 of the family's 1533-position model. The record is from RNAcentral.